AGGCUAAAUACUCCCUAGUGACCGAUAGUGAACCAGUACCGUGAGGGAAAGGUGAAAAGCACCCCGGAAGGGGAGUGAAACAGUUCCUGAAACCGUGUGCCUACAAGUAGUUAGAGCCCGUUAAUGGGUGAUAGCGUGCCUUUUGUAGAAUGAACCGGCGAGUUACGAUUUGUUGCAAGGUUAAGCGGAAAAAGCGGAGCCGUAGCGAAAGCGAGUCUGAAUAGGGCGCAUAAGUAACAGGUCGUAGACCCGAAACCAGGUGAUCUACCCAUGUCCAGGAUGAAGGUAAGGUAAUACUUACUGGAGGUCCGAACCCACGCACGUUGAAAAGUGCGGGGAUGAGGUGUGGGUAGCGGAGAAAUUCCAAUCGAACUUGGAGAUAGCUGGUUCUCUCCGAAAUAGCUUUAGGGCUAGCCUCGAGGUAAAGAGUCAUGGAGGUAGAGCACUGUUUGGACUAGGGGCCCUUCUCGGGUUACCGAAUUCAGAUAAACUCCGAAUGCCAUGUACUUAUACUCGGGAGUCAGACUGCGAGUGAUAAGAUCCGUAGUCGAAAGGGAAACAGCCCAGACCACCAGUUAAGGUCCCCAAAUAUAUGUUAAGUGGAAAAGGAUGUGGGGUUGCUUAGACAACCAGGAUGUUGGCUUAGAAGCAGCCACCAUUGAAAGAGUGCGUAAUAGCUCACUGGUCGAGUGACCCCGCGCCGAAAAUGUACCGGGGCUAAACAUAUUACCGAAACUGUGGAUGAACCUCUUUAGAGGUUCGUGGUAGGAGAGCGUUCUAAGGGCGGUGAAGUCAGACCGGAAGGACUGGUGGAGCGCUUAGAAGUGAGAAUGCCGGUAUGAGUAGCGAAAGAAGGGUGAGAAUCCCUUCCACCGAAUAUCUAAGGUUUCCUGAGGAAGGCUCGUCCGCUC
Molecule: ribosomal RNA, 911 nt
Filed under: Listeria monocytogenes
Lineage: Bacteria; Bacillati; Bacillota; Bacilli; Caryophanales; Listeriaceae
Description: partial 23S ribosomal RNA
Rfam family: Bacterial large subunit ribosomal RNA
Source: RNAcentral